RNAcentral lists this ribosomal RNA (426 nucleotides) under uncultured Paenibacillus sp. RNAcentral's name for it is "bacterial SSU rRNA". It matches the Rfam family "Bacterial small subunit ribosomal RNA", at positions 355 to 774 of the family's 1533-position model. The record is from RNAcentral. Lineage: Bacteria; Bacillati; Bacillota; Bacilli; Caryophanales; Paenibacillaceae.
UAGGGAAUCUUCCGCAAUGGACGCAAGUCUGACGGAGCAACGCCGCGUGAGUGAAGAAGGUUUUCGGAUCGUAAAGCUCUGUUGCCAGGGAAGAACGGGUGUGAGAGUAACUGCUCAUGCCAUGACGGUACCUGAGAAGAAAGCCCCGGCUAACUACGUGCCAGCAGCCGCGGUAAUACGUAGGGGGCAAGCGUUGUCCGGAAUUAUUGGGCGUAAAGCGCGCGCAGGCGGUAUUGUAAGUCUGGUGUCUAAGACUGGGGCUCAACCCUGGAACGCACCGGAAACUGCAAGACUUGAGUGCAGGAGAGGAAAGUGGAAUUCCACGUGUAGCGGUGAAAUGCGUAGAGAUGUGGAGGAACACCAGUGGCGAAGGCGACUUUCUGGACUGUAACUGACGCUGAGGCGCGAAAGCGUGGGGAGCAAACA